RNAcentral lists this ribosomal RNA (234 nucleotides) under uncultured bacterium. RNAcentral describes it as "partial 16S ribosomal RNA". It matches the Rfam family "Bacterial small subunit ribosomal RNA", at positions 97 to 334 of the family's 1533-position model. The record is from RNAcentral.
GGCGGACGGGUGAGUAACGCGUAGGAACCUACCUGGUAGCGGGGGACAACCUGGUGAAAACCAGGCUAAUACCGCAUACGCCCUACGGGGGAAAGCAGGGGAUCUUCGGACCUUGCACUAUCAGAUGGGCCUGCGUCGGAUUAGCUAGUUGGUGAGGUAAUGGCUCACCAAGGCGACGAUCCGUAGCUGGUUUGAGAGAAUGAUCAGCCACACUGGGACUGAGACACGGCCCAG